AUUGAACGCUGGCGGCAUGCCUUACACAUGCAAGUCGAACGGCAGCACGGGAGCAAUCCUGGUGGCGAGUGGCGAACGGGUGAGUAAUGUAUCGGAACGUGCCCAUUCGUGGGGGAUAACGUAGCGAAAGCUACGCUAAUACCGCAUACGAUCUAUGGAUGAAAGCGGGGGAUCGCAAGACCUCGCGCGAUUGGAGCGGCCGAUAUCAGAUUAGGUAGUUGGUGGGGUAAAGGCUCACCAAGCCGACGAUCUGUAGCUGGUCUGAGAGGACGACCAGCCACACUGGGACUGAGACACGGCCCAGACUCCUACGGGAGGCAGCAGUGGGGAAUUUUGGACAAUGGGCGCAAGCCUGAUCCAGCAAUGCCGCGUGCAGGAUGAAGGCCUUCGGGUUGUAAACUGCUUUUGUACAGAACGAAAAGGUUUCUACUAAUACUAGGAGCUCAUGACGGUACUGUAAGAAUAAGCACCGGCUAACUACGUGCCAGCAGCCGCCGUAA
Molecule: ribosomal RNA, 500 nt
Filed under: uncultured bacterium
Lineage: Bacteria
Description: partial 16S ribosomal RNA
Rfam family: Bacterial small subunit ribosomal RNA
Source: RNAcentral